RNAcentral lists this ribosomal RNA (468 nucleotides) under uncultured bacterium. RNAcentral's name for it is "partial 16S ribosomal RNA". It matches the Rfam family "Bacterial small subunit ribosomal RNA", at positions 28 to 507 of the family's 1533-position model. The record is from RNAcentral.
GACGAACGCUGGCGGCGUGCUUAACACAUGCAAGUCGAACGGAAAGGCCCUGCGUUUGUGGGGUUCUCGAGUGGCGAACGGGUGAGUAACACGUGAGUAACCUGCCCUUGACUUUGGGAUAACUUCAGGAAACUGGGGCUAAUACCGGACAGGAUCCCCUGCUCCGUGGUGGGGGUUGGAAAGUUGCGGCGGUUGGGGAUGGACUCGCGGCUUAUCAGCUUGUUGGUGGGGUAGUUGCUUACCAAGGCUUUGACGGGUAGCCGGCACGGGAGGGUGGACGGCGACAAUGCUACUGAGAGACGGCGCAGACUCGUACGGGAGGCAGAAGUGGGGAAUCUUACACAAUGGGCGGAAGCCUGAUGCAGCGGCGCCGCGUGCGUGAUGACGGCCUUCGGGGUGUAAACCGCUUUCGCCUGUGACGAAGCGUGAGUGACGGUAAUGAAUGAAGAAGCACCGGCUAACUACGUG